Molecule: ribosomal RNA, 440 nt
Filed under: uncultured bacterium
Lineage: Bacteria
Description: partial 16S ribosomal RNA
Rfam family: Bacterial small subunit ribosomal RNA
Source: RNAcentral
CCUACGGGAGGCAGCAGUGGGGAAUAUUGCACAAUGGAGGGAACUCUGAUGCAGCGACGCCGCGUGAGUGAAGAAGUAAUUCGUUAUGUAAAGCUCUAUCAGCAGGGAAGAAAGUGACGGUAACUGAAAAAGAAGCCUCGGCUAAAUACGUGCCAGCAGCGACGGUAAUACGUAUGGAGCAAGCGGUAUCCGGAUUUACUGGGUGUAAAGGGAGAGUAGGUGGCAGAGCAAGUCCGAAGUGAAAACCCAAAGCUCAACUAAUGGAAUGCUUUAGAAACUGCUCAGCUAGAGUGCAGGAGAGGCAAGUGGAAUUCUGAGUGGAGCGGGGAAAUGCGUAGAUAUUAGGAGGAACACCAGUGGCGACGGCGGCUUGCUGGACUGUAACUGACACUGAGGCUCGAAAGCGUGGGGAGCAAACAGGAUUAGAUACCCUUGUAGUC